RNAcentral lists this unclassified non-coding RNA (253 nucleotides) under uncultured Bacteroidota bacterium. RNAcentral describes it as "uncultured Bacteroidetes bacterium contains 16S-23S intergenic spacer region". It matches the Rfam family "Bacterial small subunit ribosomal RNA", at positions 524 to 776 of the family's 1533-position model. Lineage: Bacteria; Pseudomonadati; Bacteroidota. The record is from RNAcentral.
UACGGAGGGUGCAAGCGUUGUCCGGAAUCAUUGGGUGUAAAGGGUGCGUAGGCUGGCGCCUAAGUCGGAGGUGAAAUCUUGCCGCUUAACGGUAAAAGUGCCUCCGAUACUGGGUGUCUUGAAUCUGACAGAGGUCGGUGGAAUUCGUGGUGUAGCGGUGAAAUGCAUAGAGAUCACGAAGAACAUCAGUGGCGAAGGCGGCCGGCUGGGUCAGUAUUGACGCUGAGGCACGAGAGCGUGGGGAGCAAACAGG